AGUGAACGCUGGCGGUAGGCCUAACACAUGCAAGUCGAACGGCAGCACAGUAAGAGCUUGCUCUUACGGGUGGCGAGUGGCGGACGGGUGAGGAAUACAUCGGAAUCUACUUUUUCGUGGGGGAUAACGUAGGGAAACUUACGCUAAUACCGCAUACGACCUACGGGUGAAAGCAGGGGAUCCUCGGACCUUGCGCGAUUGAAUGAGCCGAUGUCGGAUUAGCUAGUUGGCGGGGUAAAGGCCCACCAAGGCGACGAUCCGUAGCUGGUCUGAGAGGAUGAUCGGCCACACUGGAACUGAGACACGGUCCAGACUCCUACGGGAGGCAGCAGUGGGGAAUAUUGGACAAUGGGCGCAAGCCUGAUCCAGCCAUACCGCGUGGGUGAAGAAGGCCUUCGGGUUGUAAAGCCCUUUUGUUGGGAAAGAAAAGCAGCAGGUUAAUACCCCGCUGUUCUGACGGUACCCAGCGAGUAAGCACCGGCUAACUUCGUG
RNAcentral lists this ribosomal RNA (492 nucleotides) under uncultured bacterium. Its description in RNAcentral is "partial 16S ribosomal RNA". It matches the Rfam family "Bacterial small subunit ribosomal RNA", at positions 29 to 507 of the family's 1533-position model. The record is from RNAcentral.